RNAcentral lists this long non-coding RNA (325 nucleotides) under Paramuricea clavata. Lineage: Eukaryota; Metazoa; Cnidaria; Anthozoa; Malacalcyonacea; Plexauridae. The record is from RNAcentral.
UGAUUGUUCCCAGUUGUUGACAAGUCUGGAACAAGUUGUUAUCAUCUUGUAACAAGGUUGACGAGGCCAACAGACUCGCAACAAGUUGUUCCAACAAGUCUGAUAUCGUCUGCACGUAACAAGUUGUUAACAAGUUGACGACAACAAGCUCGUGGCAACUUGUUACGAACAGCCUGUAUUAGUCUUGUUGGAACAACUUGUAGCAAGUCUGUUACCGUCGUCAACCUUGUAACACGGUGAUAACAACUUGUUCCAGACUUGUCACAACAACUGGGAACAAGCAGUGCGAACACAUCCUGAUAUCGACUUGACGACAACCUUGUUG